AACAACGCUGGCGGCGUGCCUAACACAUGCAAGUCGUACGAGAAAGUCGGCUUCGGCCGAUGAGUACAGUGGCGCACGGGUGAGUAGCGCGUGGGUAAUCUGCCCCCGGUCGAGGAAUAACCCGCCGAAAGGCGGGCUAAUACCCGAUAACACUGACGCUCCGCGGAGCGUCUUUCAAAGAAGGCCUCUGUUUACAAGCUUUCGCCGGAGGAUGAGCCCGCGUACCAUUAGCUAGUUGGCAGGGUAAUGGCCUACCAAGGCUACGAUGGUUAGCUGGUCUGAGAGGAUGGCCAGCCACACUGGAACUGAGACACGGUCCAGACUCCUACGGGAGGCAGCAGUGAGGAAUCUUGCGCAAUGGGGGAAACCCUGACGCAGCAACGCCGCGUGAGUGAGGAAGGCCUUCGGGUCGUAAAGCUCUGUCAGAUGGGAAGAAAUGGAUGGGGGCUAAUAUCGCCCAUCCUUGACGGUACCAUCAGAGGAAGCACCGGCUAACUCCGUG
This 502-nucleotide ribosomal RNA is filed under the name uncultured bacterium. Its description in RNAcentral is "bacterial SSU rRNA". It matches the Rfam family "Bacterial small subunit ribosomal RNA", at positions 32 to 507 of the family's 1533-position model. The record is from RNAcentral.